UACGUAGGGCGCGAGCGUUGUCCGGAUUUAUUGGGCGUAAAGAGCUCGUAGGCGGCUUGUUGCGUCGUCCGUGAAAACCUGUGGCUCAACCACAGGCUUGCGGUCGAUACGGGCGGGCUGGAGUUCGGUAGGGGAGACUGGAAUUCCUGGUGUAGCGGUGAAAUGCGCAGAUAUCAGGAGGAACACCGAUGGCGAAGGCAGGUCUCUGGGCUAUAACUG
Molecule: ribosomal RNA, 219 nt
Filed under: uncultured prokaryote
Description: partial 16S ribosomal RNA
Rfam family: Bacterial small subunit ribosomal RNA
Source: RNAcentral